RNAcentral lists this ribosomal RNA (201 nucleotides) under Sphingomonas glacialis. RNAcentral describes it as "partial 16S ribosomal RNA". It matches the Rfam family "Bacterial small subunit ribosomal RNA", at positions 1339 to 1533 of the family's 1533-position model. Lineage: Bacteria; Pseudomonadati; Pseudomonadota; Alphaproteobacteria; Sphingomonadales; Sphingomonadaceae. The record is from RNAcentral.
UAAUCGCGGAUCAGCAUGCCGCGGUGAAUACGUUCCCAGGCCUUGUACACACCGCCCGUCACACCAUGGGAGUUGGAUUCACCCGAAGGCAGUGCGCUAACCGCAAGGAGGCAGCUGACCACGGUGGGUUCAGCGACUGGGGUGAAGUCGUAACAAGGUAGCCGUAGGGGAACCUGCGGCUGGAUCACCUCCUUUCUAAGG